UCCUACGGGAGGCAGCAGUGGGGAAUCUUGCACAAUGGGGGCAACCCUGAUGCAGCGACGCCGCGUGAGCGAUGAAGCCCUUCGGGGUGUAAAGCUCUUUCGGCAGGGAAGAUUAUGACGGUACCUGCAGAAGCAGCUGCGGCUAACUACGUGCCAGCAGCCGCGGUA
Molecule: ribosomal RNA, 168 nt
Filed under: uncultured bacterium
Lineage: Bacteria
Description: partial 16S ribosomal RNA
Rfam family: Bacterial small subunit ribosomal RNA
Source: RNAcentral